UACGGGGGGAGCAAGCGUUGUCCGGAUUUAUUGGGCGUAAAGAGCGUGUAGGCGGUUAUGCAGGUCCGCUGUGAAAACUGGAGGCUUAACCUCCAGACGUCGGUGGAAACCGUAUGACUAGAGUCCGGAAGAGGAGAGUGGAAUUCCUGGUGUAGCGGUGAAAUGCGCAGAUAUCAGGAAGAACACCCGUGGCGAAGGCGGCUCUCUGGGACGGUACUGACGCUGAGACGCGAAAGCGUGGGGAGCGAACAGG
RNAcentral lists this ribosomal RNA (253 nucleotides) under uncultured bacterium. RNAcentral's name for it is "partial 16S ribosomal RNA". It matches the Rfam family "Bacterial small subunit ribosomal RNA", at positions 524 to 776 of the family's 1533-position model. The record is from RNAcentral.